AUUUCUUCGGAAUGAAACCUGAUAUGACUUAGUGGCGGACGGGUGAGUAACACGUGAGCAACCUGCCUUUCAGAGGGGGAUAACGGCUGGAAACGGUCGCUAAUACCGCAUGAUACGUUUUAGGGGCAUCCCUGAGACGUCAAAGAUUUAUCGCUGAAAGAUGGGCUCGCGUCUGAUUAGAUAGUUGGUGGGGUAACGGCCUACCAAGUCUACGAUCAGUAGCCGGACUGAGAGGUUGAACGGCCACAUUGGGACUGAGAUACGGCCCAGACUCC
RNAcentral lists this ribosomal RNA (275 nucleotides) under uncultured Oscillospiraceae bacterium. RNAcentral's name for it is "partial 16S ribosomal RNA". It matches the Rfam family "Bacterial small subunit ribosomal RNA", at positions 72 to 339 of the family's 1533-position model. The record is from RNAcentral. Lineage: Bacteria; Bacillati; Bacillota; Clostridia; Eubacteriales; Oscillospiraceae.